Molecule: non-coding RNA, 46 nt
Organism: Bacillus infantis NRRL B-14911
Lineage: Bacteria; Bacillati; Bacillota; Bacilli; Caryophanales; Bacillaceae
Source: Rfam
AAAAAAGUUUUUUUAAAAACUACCUGUAUUCACAUUUUCAGGCCGU